Molecule: unclassified non-coding RNA, 332 nt
Filed under: soil metagenome
Description: partial contains 5.8S ribosomal RNA, internal transcribed spacer 2, and large subunit ribosomal RNA
Rfam family: 5.8S ribosomal RNA (bases 1-120)
Source: RNAcentral
GAUGAAGAACGCAGCAAAAUGCGAUAAGUAAUGUGAAUUGCAGAAUUCAGUGAAUCAUCGAAUCUUUGAACGCACAUUGCGCCCGCCAGUAUUCUGGCGGGCAUGCCUGUUCGAGCGUCAUUUCAACCCUCAAGCACAGCUUGGUGUUGGGACUCGCGUUAAUUCGCGUUCCCCAAAUUGAUUGGCGGUCACGUCGAGCUUCCAUAGCGUAGUAGUAAAACCCUCGUUACUGGUAAUCGUCGCGGCCACGCCGUUAAACCCCUACUUCUGAAUGUUGACCUCGGAUCAGGUAGGAAUACCCGCUGAACUUAAGCAUAUCAAUAAGCGGAGGA